GUGCUCAUUUCAGCAGCACAUAUACUAAAAUUGGAAUGAUACAGAGAUUAGCAUGGCCUCUACACAAGGAUAACAACCAAAUUUGUGAAGCAUUCUAUAUUUUU
Pipistrellus kuhlii (Kuhl's pipistrelle) is the source of this 104-nucleotide small nuclear RNA. The record is from RefSeq and is a predicted model, not a curated record. NCBI's taxonomy places the organism in Eukaryota, Metazoa, Chordata, Mammalia, Chiroptera, Vespertilionidae.